Molecule: long non-coding RNA, 463 nt
Organism: Saccostrea echinata
Lineage: Eukaryota; Metazoa; Mollusca; Bivalvia; Ostreida; Ostreidae
Exons: 4
Source: RefSeq, a predicted model, not a curated record
CCGACAAAACACACAGAUGUCGGAGGUGCGAGAUGACAUCGUUUAAUGCAACAUAUCCGCUGUGUAACGAAAAAUUGUGAGGUCCUAUGCAUGGGAUAGAUGUAAUAAUGAUACGAGGUACCCGGAAAGAAUACACAAGCUUUUAUGGGCCAUGAAAUACUGACUGUAUACAGCAAGGUCCAGUUCCCCCAGAUGGGUCACAGUCAUCAAGAAAGGCUUCUUUGGAAUUAUCGAGAAGAGUUGAUCAAUGAUGGAGCACACAGGGAAACAGAAAAGAAUCUUCACCCGUGUGUCAUAACAGAAUGUGAAAAUGAAUUGUCAACAGGCUACAUGAAUCUUUGGAUUAAUUUCCCCAUGUUGUAGAACUACAACAAAAACAGAGAGAACCUACAGAACAGACUAAGUAAUCGUCUACAACUCCACAUAGCAGCAUGAGAAAAACAAGGCCCACUUGCCAUGAAGA